AAAUUGAAGAGUUUGAUCAUGGCUCAGAUUGAACGCUGGCGGCAGGCCUAACACAUGCAAGUCGAACGGUAACAGGAAGCAGCUUGCUGCUUUGCUGACGAGUGGCGGACGGGUGAGUAAUGUCUGGGAAACUGCCUGAUGGAGGGGGAUAACUACUGGAAACGGUGGCUAAUACCGCAUAACGUCGCAAGACCAAAGAGGGGGACCUUCGGGCCUCUUGCCAUCAGAUGUGCCCAGAUGGGAUUAGCUAGUUGGUGAGGUAACGGCUCACCAAGGCGACGAUCCCUAGCUGGUCUGAGAGGAUGACCAGCCACACUGGAACUGAGACACGGUCCAGACUCCUACGGGAGGCAGCAGUGGGGAAUAUUGCACAAUGGGCGCAAGCCUGAUGCAGCCAUGCCGCGUGUAUGAAGAAGGCCUUCGGGUUGUAAAGUACUUUCAGCGGGGAGGAAGGUGUUGUGGUUAAUAACCGCAGCAAUUGACGUUACCCGCAGAAGAAGCACCGGCUAACUCCGUGCCAGCAGCCGCGGUAAUACGGAGGGUGCAAGCGUUAAUCGGAAUUACUGGGCGUAAAGCGCACGCAGGCGGUCUGUCAAGUCGGAUGUGAAAUCCCCGGGCUCAACCUGGGAACUGCAUUCGAAACUGGCAGGCUUGAGUCUUGUAGAGGGGGGUAGAAUUCCAGGUGUAGCGGUGAAAUGCGUAGAGAUCUGGAGGAAUACCGGUGGCGAAGGCGGCCCCCUGGACAAAGACUGACGCUCAGGUGCGAAAGCGUGGGGAGCAAACAGGAUUAGAUACCCUGGUAGUCCACGCCGUAAACGAUGUCUACUUGGAGGUUGUGCCCUUGAGGCGUGGCUUCCGGAGCUAACGCGUUAAGUAGACCGCCUGGGGAGUACGGCCGCAAGGUUAAAACUCAAAUGAAUUGACGGGGGCCCGCACAAGCGGUGGAGCAUGUGGUUUAAUUCGAUGCAACGCGAAGAACCUUACCUGGUCUUGACAUCCACAGAAGAAUCCAGAGAUGGAUUUGUGCCUUCGGGAACUGUGAGACAGGUGCUGCAUGGCUGUCGUCAGCUCGUGUUGUGAAAUGUUGGGUUAAGUCCCGCAACGAGCGCAACCCUUAUCCUUUGUUGCCAGCGGUCCGGCCGGGAACUCAAAGGAGACUGCCAGUGAUAAACUGGAGGAAGGUGGGGAUGACGUCAAGUCAUCAUGGCCCUUACGACCAGGGCUACACACGUGCUACAAUGGCGCAUACAAAGAGAAGCGACCUCGCGAGAGCAAGCGGACCUCAUAAAGUGCGUCGUAGUCCGGAUUGGAGUCUGCAACUCGACUCCAUGAAGUCGGAAUCGCUAGUAAUCGUGGAUCAGAAUGCCACGGUGAAUACGUUCCCGGGCCUUGUACACACCGCCCGUCACACCAUGGGAGUGGGUUGCAAAAGAAGUAGGUAGCUUAACCUUCGGGAGGGCGCUUACCACUUUGUGAUUCAUGACUGGGGUGAAGUCGUAACAAGGUAACCGUAGGGGAACCUGCGGUUGGAUCACCUCCUUACCUUAAAGAA
This 1552-nucleotide ribosomal RNA is filed under the name Salmonella enterica subsp. enterica serovar Infantis. Its description in RNAcentral is "bacterial SSU rRNA". It matches the Rfam family "Bacterial small subunit ribosomal RNA". Lineage: Bacteria; Pseudomonadati; Pseudomonadota; Gammaproteobacteria; Enterobacterales; Enterobacteriaceae. The record is from RNAcentral. RNAcentral also lists the same sequence under 4 other names.